GGCCUUAUAUUCAAUUAUGAUUCUAGACUGCAAUUCUAGGGGUGUAAGUAUUUACUAAGGCCU
RNAcentral lists this transfer RNA (63 nucleotides) under Conophyma sp. RNAcentral's name for it is "tRNA-Cys". The record is from RNAcentral. Lineage: Eukaryota; Metazoa; Arthropoda; Insecta; Orthoptera; Dericorythidae.